AACGAACGCUGGCGGCAUGCCUAACACAUGCAAGUCGAACGAGACCUUCGGGUCUAGUGGCGCACGGGUGCGUAACGCGUGGGAACCUGCCCUUAGGUUCGGAAUAACUCCCCGAAAGGGGUGCUAAUACCGGAUAAUGUCUUCGGACCAAAGAUUUAUCGCCUUUGGAUGGGCCCGCGUUGGAUUAGCUAGUUGGUAGGGUAAAAGCCUACCAAGGCGACGAUCCAUAGCUGGUCUGAGAGGAUGAUCAGCCACACUGGGACUGAGACACGGCCCAGACUCCUACGGUAGGCAGCAGUGGGGAAUAUUGGACAAUGGGCGAAAGCCUGAUCCAGCAAUGCCGCGUGAGUGAUGAAGGCCUUAGGGUUGUAAAGCUCUUUUACCCGGGAUGAUAAUGACAGUACCGGGAGAAUAAGCUCCGGCUAACUCCGUG
Molecule: ribosomal RNA, 433 nt
Filed under: uncultured bacterium
Lineage: Bacteria
Description: partial 16S ribosomal RNA
Rfam family: Bacterial small subunit ribosomal RNA
Source: RNAcentral